CCUACGGGAGGCAGCAGUGAGGAAUAUUGGUCAAUGGGCGGAAGCCUGAACCAGCCAAGUCGCGUGAGGGAUUAAGGCCCUGCGGGUCGUAAACCUCUUUUGCCGGGGAGCAGUGGUCCGGACGCGUCCGGACCGGGAGAGUACCCGGAGAAAAAGCAUCGGCUAACUCCGUGCCAGCAGCCGCGGUAAUACGGAGGAUGCGAGCGUUAUCCGGAUUUAUUGGGUUUAAAGGGUGCGUAGGCGGGCAUUUAAGCCGGCGGUCAAAUGUCGGGGCUCAACUUCGGAACUACUACUAAAACUGUUGGACUUGAGUGCAGGAGGGGCAAUCGGAAUUCCUAGUGUAGCGGUGGAAUGCGUAGAUAUUAGGAGGAACACCAGUGGCGAAGGCGGAUUGCUAGACUGUAACUGACACUGAGGCACGAAAGCGUGGGGAGCAAACAGGAUUAGAUACCCUGGUAGUC
This 461-nucleotide ribosomal RNA is filed under the name uncultured bacterium. RNAcentral's name for it is "partial 16S ribosomal RNA". It matches the Rfam family "Bacterial small subunit ribosomal RNA", at positions 338 to 795 of the family's 1533-position model. The record is from RNAcentral.